Molecule: ribosomal RNA, 331 nt
Filed under: uncultured eukaryote
Lineage: Eukaryota
Description: partial 18S ribosomal RNA
Rfam family: Eukaryotic small subunit ribosomal RNA
Source: RNAcentral
CCCUUAGAUGUUCUGGGCCGCACGCGCGCUACACUGUUCGACGCAGCGAGUCUUAACCUUGACCGAAAGGUUUGGGUAAUCUUCAGCAAAGUCGAACGUGAUGGGGAUCGAUCAUUGCAAUUAUUGAUCGUGAACGAGGAAUUCCUAGUAAGUGCAAGUCAUCAGCUUGCGCUGAUUACGUCCCUGCCUUUUGUACACACCGCCCGUCGCUACUACCGAUUGAAUGGUUUAGUGAGAUCUCUGGAUUGACGCUGGCUAGGGGGCGACCCUUGGCCAGACUGUUGAGAAACUGCUCAAACUUGAUCAUUUAGAGGAAGUAAAAGUCGUAACA